This 472-nucleotide ribosomal RNA is filed under the name uncultured bacterium. RNAcentral describes it as "bacterial SSU rRNA". It matches the Rfam family "Bacterial small subunit ribosomal RNA", at positions 28 to 496 of the family's 1533-position model. The record is from RNAcentral.
GAUGAACGCUGGCGGCGUGCCUAACACAUGCAAGUCGAACGAAGCGAUCAAGAUGAAGUUUUCGGAUGAAUUCGAGAUUGACUGAGUGGCGGACGGGUGAGUAACGCGUGGGUAACCUGCCUCAUACAGGGGGGAUAACAGUUAGAAAUGACUGCUAAUACCGCAUAAGCGCACAGUACCGCAUGGUACAGUGUGAAAAACUCCGGUGGUAUGAGAUGGACCUGCGUCUGAUUAGCUAGUUGGUGAGGUAACGGCCCACCAAGGCGACGAUCAGUAGCCGACCUGAGAGGGUGACCGGCCACAUUGGGACUGAGACACGGCCCAAAACUCCUACGGGAGGCAGCAGUGGGGAAUAUUGCACAAUGGGGGGAAACCCUGAUGCAGCGACGCCGCGUGAGUGAAGAAGUAUUUCGGAUGUAAAGCUCUAUCAGCAGGGAAGAAAAUGACGGUACCUGACUAAGAAGACCCCCGG